UGGGCUAAAAUUUGGAAAAAU
Molecule: non-coding RNA, 21 nt
Filed under: Caenorhabditis elegans
Lineage: Eukaryota; Metazoa; Nematoda; Chromadorea; Rhabditida; Rhabditidae
Source: RNAcentral